UAUGUUGUAGACUAAUUAGGGUAAGUCAUAAAUUUUUGGUAUUUACAAUUGAGUGUUCGAAUCACUCCAACAUAA
Transfer RNA from Chaetomium globosum CBS 148.51, 75 nucleotides. It matches the Rfam family "tRNA". From Rfam's summary of the family: Transfer RNA (tRNA) molecules are approximately 80 nucleotides in length. Their secondary structure includes four short double-helical elements and three loops (D, anti-codon, and T loops). Further hydrogen bonds mediate the characteristic L-shaped molecular structure. tRNAs have two regions of fundamental functional importance: the anti-codon, which is responsible for specific mRNA codon recognition, and the 3' end, to which the tRNAs corresponding amino acid is attached (by aminoacyl-tRNA synthetases). tRNAs cope with the degeneracy of the genetic code in two manners: having more than one tRNA (with a specific anti-codon) for a particular amino acid; and 'wobble' base-pairing, i.e. permitting non-standard base-pairing at the 3rd anti-codon position. The record is from Rfam. Lineage: Eukaryota; Fungi; Ascomycota; Sordariomycetes; Sordariales; Chaetomiaceae.